AGGAAAAGAAACCAACAGGGAUUGCCCUAGUAACGGCGAGUGAAGCGGCAACAGCUCAAAUUUGAAAUCUGGCGCAAGCCCGAGUUGUAAUUUGUAGAGGAUGCUUCAGGCAGCGGCCGGUCUAAGUUCCUUGGAACAGGACGUCAUAGAGGGUGAGAAUCCCGUAUGCGACCGGUUGGCACCCGUCAUGUAGCUCCUUCGACGAGUCGAGUUGUUUGGGAAUGCAGCUCUAAAUGGGAGGUAAAUUCCUUCUAAAGCUAAAUACCGGCCAGAGACCGAUAGCGCACAAGUAGAGUGAUCGAAAGAUGAAAAGCACUUUGGAAAGAGAGUUAAAAAGCACGUGAAAUUGUUGAAAGGGAAGCGCAUGCAACCAGACUUGUAGGCGGUGUUCCGCCGGUCUUUUGACCGGUGUACUCGCCGCCGGCGGGCCAGCAUCACUUGGGGGCGCCGGAUAAAGGCGCGGGGAAUGUGGCUCCUCGGAGUGUUAUAGCCCCGCGCACAAUACGGCGAUCCUCGAGUGAGGUCCGCGCUUCGGCUAGGAUGCUGGCGUAAUGGUUGUAGCGGCCCGUCUUGAACCACGGGCCAAGGAGUCUAACAUCUAUGCGAGUGUUCGGGCGUCAAACCCCUACGCGUAAUGAAAGUGAACGGAGGUGGGAAGCGCAAGCUGCACCAUCGACCGAUCCUGAUGUCCUCGGAUGGAUUUGAGUAAGAGGAUAGCUGUUGGGACCCGAAAGAUGGUGAACUAUGCCUGAAUAGGGUGAAGCCAGAGGAAACUCUGGUGGAGGCUCGAAGCGGUUCUGACGUGCAAAUCGAUCGUCAAAUUUGGGUAUAGGGGCGAAAGACUAAUCGAACCAU
This 855-nucleotide ribosomal RNA is filed under the name Teratosphaeria nubilosa. RNAcentral describes it as "LSU rRNA". It matches the Rfam family "Eukaryotic large subunit ribosomal RNA", at positions 54 to 943 of the family's 3401-position model. The record is from RNAcentral. Lineage: Eukaryota; Fungi; Ascomycota; Dothideomycetes; Mycosphaerellales; Teratosphaeriaceae.